Molecule: long non-coding RNA, 782 nt
Filed under: Bos indicus x Bos taurus (hybrid cattle)
Lineage: Eukaryota; Metazoa; Chordata; Mammalia; Artiodactyla; Bovidae
Description: lncRNA (ENSBIXG00005027527.1)
Source: RNAcentral
AUGGACCAUGUCACGCCGUCAGGUGGAACAGUUCAGAAUGCCAUUGCAUCAUCCAAGCUCUUCCCUGGAACGAAUGUAAGGUUCACUUCAGGUCUCUUGAGCCUCAUUUACUGCACUAGCAAUGGACUUGGCAUAGUUCCCAGAGCUCAGUUGGGGCUUGGAAAACCCUGGAGCUGGCAGGAGUCUGGAGGCCCACAGGAACCCUAGCUGGGUGUCUCUUACAGAGCUCACACCGGGCGCCAGCUCCAGGUCUGUAUGGUGUGGGGCAAGGCUCGUCUCCUCUUAUCCAAGGCAACAUGCCUGCCGAUGCCAAUGCUACCAGGAUACGUGAUUCUCUCAUCCUUCUUUCUGUCUCUAUUUUAAACCUCCCUUUGAUGGUUAACUUAUAAAGCAAACAGAAUCUGAUUUUUUUUUUCUUUUGCAUGAAAGAGAUCUUGAGCUCUCCCUGGAUAAGGCAGGAGUGUGCAGCUUGCACUUCGUCACAAACCUCCGUGGCUGCCCUCUCCUGGACUGAGUGCCACCUGAUACCGAGUCAUUCAAUUUGCUUUUCUUCUUUAGACCAACCCGCCUCUCCAGCCUCAUCUUCAACAUAAACUCUCUUUCUGCCUAAAGAUAACGUGCCUCUUGGAAUGUCCUUUCACCCAAUUCCUCCCCACCUCAAGUUCUCCAUUCCCCAGCAAAGCCACGGUCUCCAUCUAAACCUGUGAGAAAAAGAAUUCCCUCACACUUACUGAGUAUUUGACCUGCUCUUUAGUCUGGGUUCCACCUGUCCAGAGCUUACA